This 254-nucleotide ribosomal RNA is filed under the name uncultured bacterium. Its description in RNAcentral is "partial 16S ribosomal RNA". It matches the Rfam family "Bacterial small subunit ribosomal RNA", at positions 524 to 777 of the family's 1533-position model. The record is from RNAcentral.
UACGAAGGGGGCUAGCGUUGCUCGGAAUUACUGGGCGUAAAGCGCACGUAGGCGGCUUUCUAAGUCGGGGGUGAAAUCCUGGAGCUCAACUCCAGAACUGCCUUCGAUACUGGAAAGCUCGAGUCCGGGAGAGGUGAGUGGAACUGCGGGUGUAGAGGUGAAAUUCGUAGAUAUUCGCAAGAACACCAGUGGCGAAGGCGGCUCACUGGCCCGGUACUGACGCUGAGGUGCGAAAGCGUGGGGAGCAAACAGGG